AGAGUUUGAUCCUGGCUCAGGACGAACGCUGGCGGCGUGCCUAAGACAUGCAAGUCGAGCGGAGCCUUGGGACUUCGGUUCUGAGGCUUAGCGGCGGACGGGUGAGUAACACGUGGAUAACCUGCCCUCGGCUCUGGGAUAACAGGCCGAAAGGCCUGCUAAUACCGGAUAAGCUCACGGCCCCGCAUGGGGCAGGGAGAAAAGGCGCUGACGAGGCGCUGGCAGAGGAGGGGUCCGCGGCCCAUUAGCUGGUUGGUGAGGUAACGGCUCACCAAGGCGACGAUGGGUAGCCGGCCUGAGAGGGUGACCGGCCACACUGGGACUGAGACACGGCCCAGACUCCUACGGGAGGCAGCAGUCGGGAAUCUUGCACAAUGGGCGAAAGCCUGAUGCAGCAACGCCGCGUGGGUGAAGAAGGCCUUCGGGUUGUAAAGCCCUGUUGCCUGCGACGAAGGGUCCGGGGAGGAAAUGCCCUGGGUAUGACGGUAGCAGGCGAGGAAGCCCCGGCAAACUACGUGCCAGCAGCCGCGGUAAUACGUAGGGGGCGAGCGUUGUCCGGAAUUAUUGGGCGUAAAGGGCGUGUAGGCGGCCUGUUAAGUCAGGGGUGAAAACCCGGGGCUCAACUUCGGGGUUGCCCUUGAAACUGGCGGGCUUGAGUGCUCUAGAGGGCAGUGGAAUUCCCGGUGUAGCAGUGAAAUGCGUAGAGAUCGGGAGGAACACCAGUGGCGAAGGCGGCUGCCUGGGGAGCAACUGACGCUGAGGCGCGAAAGCUAGGGGAGCAAACAGGAUUAGAUACCCUGGUAGUCCUAGCCGUAAACGAUGAGUGCUAUGUGUGAGGGGUAUCGACCCCCCUCGUGCAGGAGCCAACGCACUAAGCACUCCGCCUGGGGAGUACGGCCGCAAGGUUGAAACUCAAUGAAUUGACGG
Molecule: ribosomal RNA, 927 nt
Filed under: uncultured bacterium
Lineage: Bacteria
Description: bacterial SSU rRNA
Rfam family: Bacterial small subunit ribosomal RNA
Source: RNAcentral